UCCUUCCCUUCCUUCCGCCCGCGCCGCCGCCUCGGUCACCGCCCCGGCGCCGGAACCGCCGCUUGCGUCAUCACCCUCAGCCUUCAGCCCGCUCCGCCUCGGGAACUGUGAACCCCAGAUUGUGUUGUCUCAACACACACAGCAAAGGGACUGGCUCACUGGACCACCUUGGCUCACAGCAUGGAAGAUCCAUCUGAAAGGGGAGAUAAAUUAAAGUUAGACCACCACAACUUGUUUUAAACAGAAAUAAUAGAAUUGGAGCUGUUCAGCAAGUGCGCAAUGCCUGCUGUGCAAGGCAAAGGGAGAAAGAAGGAAAAGAACACAAAUGUUUGCACGUUUAGAAAAGUGCAGUUUUCUGUGAUACACAUUUUUAGCCUUGUCUCAACCAUUCAGUUUUAACCCCAGUAAAUUGCAGAUGGAAAAUAAUGACUUAAAAUGUAUUUUAUGUAGCCAUAGCAUUUGGUUUAAAUUACAUUUUUAACUAUCUCCAUUUCUUCAUUACAGCAGGUAAUAUAUCAAUAAAUAAUAAAGAAAAUGAAGACAAUCCAGACAGAUGGAGAAUUAAAGAGGAGCAGCACUAGCCCAGGAGAAGUGCACAGAGUUACAGAAGAAGGUCAAUUACUCUCGGAAUUAGUGUCCUUUGCAUCCCCACACUUGGAGUAAAACUAGUUAUCA
Molecule: long non-coding RNA, 675 nt
Organism: Ficedula albicollis (Collared flycatcher)
Lineage: Eukaryota; Metazoa; Chordata; Aves; Passeriformes; Muscicapidae
Exons: 3
Source: RefSeq, a predicted model, not a curated record